UGUUCCUCUGUGAGUUGAGAGGGUUGGAUUUUGUUCAUGAUAAACAAUAAUCCAGUGGCAGCAGAGAAUAAAAGAGCAGAGGACAGUUUCAUAGCCAUAAGUGGUGCACCUUCCCCGUUUGUGACAGCUGCAACACCAGACAUGGUUGUAGCAGUGAGAGUAAUCAUAUUUAUUGAGUUUAAUAGAAGAUUAUUCCAGUUGUUACGUUGUUCGCCAAUGUUGUGAUGCAUUUCUAUUCUGUCUGAUACAGCUUCCAAGACUGCAUAGAGUUGAACUGUAGCAUUAGAAAUUGUAGAAUGCUUUUGUUGUUGAUCUUGUAAUAUUUGUGUGAUGUUGUUGUUUUCUAAUAAUGGAGUAUUUUUGUACUGUUUGAUUACUUUUAGUUCUUGAUCAUCAACUUGUUUUCUAGUUUGUAUCUUUGACAAUGAAAUAUUUGUGAGUUUUGGGAGAUGGAUUGAAGCAUUAAUUACUUUCUUUGAAGAUGAUGAUAAAGAACAAGAAAUUGGAACUGAAGUUUGUAAUAAAGCCAUGAUAUAUAUGAAUUAAUAUUAUUUGAAGGGUGUUUAUAUGAAAGGUUUUAGUUGAAUGUUAAUAUGUGUAAGGUGGUAUGAAUAUUUAUAUAUAUAGCAAAGAACGAAAGAGAAGGGGUCAGAAUGAAACAAAGAAACCCUGAUUGACCAGUUUAAUUGAAAUAGUCUCUGUUCAAAAUUCCCAGCCUUGUCCUUAGUUUGGGUCACACUCAACAUACGACAUAGUAAAAUUAAAACCAUAAUUAAGACUGAACAAUAGUACUGCGUUACAUGCAAGAAAAACGAAACUACGUAGUAGCUUGGUAAUUAGCAUAUAACAAAUUAAAACUAUGGACUUUAUCUCUUCAUUCACCAAUUUAAUCCUUUUACUUUUAAAUUGUCAAUAUAAUCUAUGGCUAAUGCUCCAUUUUAGAAAUGUCUUUUAUUUUGAAGUGUCUUUCAGUUUGGCCACACCAACAUUGUUUUGACUCAACUGGCCAUAUACCAUAGGUCUUAAAAUGUUCAACAUUUAUAAUUUCAUAAAAUUUGAAUUUUCAGUUCGUUGCUAUAUAUCUUCUGUUCGGACUUAAUUUGCUUAAUUAAUUUAUUAUAUAUCAAAUAAAAUUUGAAGACCGGGGAAAAAUAAUAUUUGAAAUCAAUUGAGUAUAUAUUUUUUUUUUGAUCAAGCAAAGAAAUACUAUAAAAGACCUGGAGAGGGCCAGAUCCCUUAACAACAAAGAAGCUUACAUCAAAACAAAAAGAAGGUGCAAAACAUUAUAUCACGGAGAUCUAUAACAAGAAAGACUUGUGCAAAUCGUGAAUGAAAUAAACUAACAAUGAUACUGCUAAAAGAAGAACAACAGAGAAAUGGCAGAAGCUACUAGCUUAACAACCAUGUUCACAAAGAUUUGAACCAACUAUUCAGUAUAUGGCAGGACAGCUUUGGAGGUACCCUUUUGAGCACGGGUCCUCAUUCCGGUUGAGUUGAAGCUAGUAGGCUUCACUUUGUUCGCCUGCUUCUUCUGCUUUUUGCAAUGGAAACAAGCAUGUCAACCUAAAAAGUGCAAAGAGGAUACCAACCUAAAUUUAAAGCAAUCCACUUUCAAAUUCAGAACUGUUGUCAAAUAAAAAACUAUCAACUCACUUGGGUUGAUAGUUACAUGAGAUGAUUCAAGUUUCCUUCGACUUAAUUAAAGGUUUUGGAGUUUGAAAUCCAGCUUUUGUUUUUACAUAUUUCAGCUUUGGAAAUAUAACCACGUUGAAACUCCUAAAGCGGUCUUGUAAUUACUCCUCACUUGAUAGCCGCAUGGAUAUUUGAUUUGUUGGUGUGCAAGUUUGAACCCUACGAUUAUGCACUUCUCCAAAUUCUUCAUCAUUACUAGUAUCAUUGUCUUGUUCGAUUCGUCAUGAAUGGUACCAUUGAUUCGAACGUUCAUGCUUUUUGAUGUAUAAGUUAGUUGUGUACUCAUGUCUCCUAUUAGACAUGCGAAGUUGUUUAUUAUUUCAUUGUUUCGUUUCAUGUUUAUCAUGGACUAUUGUGUGAACUAAUUCAAAACAUUUUAUAUACUAUACGGUCUUUCUUCCUCGGGAGGAUGUUGAUAGUACAAUUGAUAUAAUUGAUACUCAUAUUCAAUAUAGUUGUUGUUGUAACCACGAUCAUAUCCGUCAUGACUCUAUCUCCUAUGGAGAAUCUGAAAAGGAAAUAACUAAAAAGAAGGUUUUAUUUGGCUAGAAAAAGAGGGGUUAGUGGCAAACACAAAUACUAAACUAUAAAAAAAAAAUUAUAAAUACUCAAAACAAUAUAAAUCGUUGUGAUGCUCCAAUAUCUUAAACACAAGUCCCAACAAUGACGCCAUUUGAUGAGUUGUUUCUAUCGAGGCAUCAAAAAUAAGUAUUCAGUUCCCUCAAAAAAAAAGUAUUCAGAGUAUGAAAGUAGGGUUUGUUUGUACAUAUAAGUGGGAUCUUUGCAGUUAAUUAAAAUCGAAAACAAAGAGCAGAAAGAUAAUAUUGUAGGAAUUUUUCUUCGUUAUCUAAUGCCCUUCCUAGAUCGUCGAUUAUAUAUUUCUAAAGUUCAAUUAUGCUUACACAUGUCCCUCAUCAUUUGUUUCCAUGCCUUGCAAACAACGCAAGAUCUGUUAUACAUAUUAACUUAUGAUGUCUCGUUCAGUUAAUCGGUUCAAUGACAUUAAGAUCAUACAUCGAAUGUGAGUGCAAAUUAGCCCUAUGCCGAGCAACUAGCAUUCACAAAUGAAAUUAUUUUAGAUCCCGUAAAUAAAAAGUCGACGUCUCGCACUUUCUAAAUCAAAAUAUUAUUUUUGGAUUGCACGCCAGAGAAAAACAUUAAGAACAAAAAUAAAAUAGAGAUUAUUAUAUUCUAUAUAACUAGCCAGAUCAAGUAUCUACAUCAGAACCAUAACAAUUAGACUUAAUCUCAAUAAUAGAGAUGAUUGAAGAAAAGAGAUUUAAUGUUGAAGUUGAUUCCUCCAUCUCCUUUGCCUUGGCUUUCUCCUUCCAUAUGUGUGUGUGUGUUUCUGAGCUUUUUUAAGAAUGCCAAUAUAUAUCAAAAUAUAGAUAUGAGCCCUUUUUUAUAAAUUAUGACAAUUGACAAGUGAGAAUUUUCUCCACGAGCCAAAAUUCGCUCAGCGGAUUGAACUUUCUUCAGGGUUAAGCCUUUUUCGGCUCAGAAAAUGCCUUUUAAGUAGCCUUAGAUUUGCCUAGCGGAUUCUUGCUUGCCGAACAGGUUUGAAUGGAUUCAAAAUAGUGAAAAAUCUAGGACUUUCUGCUUGGACUCACUUCUAGAUCGCUUUGGCUCGCGUAGUGGAAUUGCUUAAACUUGUAAUUUUUGCUCUUUUCCUUCUCCUUCGCAAUAGAACUCAAAAGACCUAAAAAAAAAAAGGAAAACAAGUAAAAGUAGCUUAUCCAGCAUAAAAGGUAUAAGAACAUAGUAUUUACAUGAAAUUGAAAUUUUUUUCUUGAGAUUACUUGCAAAACAAGUUAAUAAUUGUCAUGAAUAAACAUGUAAUUUAAUAGAAAAUUGGUACUUAUCUGGGCAAAAUGGUACAUAUUUUGAAAAUUUUGUCCUGAUGACAUUAUGACACUGCAUACAUGUACUACAUACUUGACAGUAUUGUAGCAAAGUCUUAAUUUGUAUUCAUAUCCACUCAUGUAUCGUGUGAAAGGAGGAUCUAUCGGUUGAAAUAUAUUUGUGUUGUAUUUGUGCUUGUGACACUCGCGACAAAAUAGCAAAGCUUUUUCUGGAGUGCUUUGAUAGGUGGCGGCCAAGGGGUGCAUGGUGUCAACAUGGUUGGAAUGUCUUGGCUUAUCAUGUAGUACAUUUGCACUUAUUAUGGAAUUAUAUCUUAUUGUUUAAAAGAAAAAUUGUUUUCAAUACUCUCAAUCAAUCAAAGAAUAGUUUUACUUAUGUCUUUCCUAAAUUUAGUAGUUCUCAAAAUCUCCAAAAAUUCAUACAUUGCACUAUUUGGAAGAACUAAAGACCACACAGUUAAGGGACAUAGUUCAUUCAUUUGGCAUAACCACUUGACGAAAAAGAAAUCACUAUUGAGAACUAUUAGUUGAAUCAUCGCCUAACUUUUAACUUCGAUAACAAGAGACUAAAUGAAGCAAAAUAAGGAAAAGAAUAUAGUUAUUAUGAAUUCUCCUACUCAAUUAGAGGAUGAAGUUUGAAAUUAUAUUUGCAAAAUCAGAUCUCUGUUGGCUAUCUUUACAUUUGCUUUCUAUGUCAAAGUACUAACAAUGAAUAUACAUAAAAUAAUGUGAAUUAGGAUCUAUACAUGAAAGAACAAAAUAAUGUGUUAAUAUUGAAGAUUAUCUCAGAAUAGCUUGCUGGAAAAUUCAUCUAUGUCAACACCUUCGAUGCGACAAGAAGCUGAUUUUGUGGCACGUUCCCUCAGCUCUGAUACAUUUCUUCCCAAUUGCAAAGCCAUUUUCAUUUCAAAUAGCUCUCCAUUUUCUCUUUUCUCUAAAUCUUUCUCUCCCAAAGUUGAUUCAAUUGAAGUUUCUAACAAGUUGAAAAACCACCAGAAGCUCUACAUUUCAAAAACCAUGCCAACUUGUCCACCAUGCUCAAAAGUAUUAACUGCAGAAGCCAAUGAACCAGCCAAUAGAGGAACAAAGGCAGCCAAAGAGCCAUUGCCUAUAAAUGUAGAUCCAAUAGCGGCAAUUCCUGUGAGUAAUGGCCCUGCAAUUGCUAAACUCUUGUCUACCUUCAAAGCUAUGUUUCCAAGCCUGUUAUAAUCUUCAGCAUCUUUUCUCUUUAUCACUUCAACAACUUCCUGCAUGUAGAUCCAAUUGCUGCAAUUCCUGUGAGUAAUGGCCCUGCAAUUGCCAAACUCUUGUUUACCUUCAACGCUAUGUUUCCAAGUCUGUCAUAAUCUUCAGAAUCUUUUCUCUUGAUCACUUCAGCGACUUCCUGCAUUUCCAUUUCUAAUUCUUUACUCCAUCCGUUGUUCAUUUUCCCUAUUUUCUUGCUUUGUGUUUUUCCUUUUUUGGAAGGCCACCAAUUAGCAGGAACAAAUUUAGCAGGGUAAUUUUCAAGCAUUGCUCCCAAUAAAGGAAGUGGGUGUGCUUUAUCAUGUGCCAAAACUUUUUCAAUAGCUUCUUUGACAUCUUCUUUAGUAGAAUUUCCAAGAGCAAUUUUUGUUUGGAUUUGACUUUGAAGUUGCUUGAACAAUCUUGUAGUGUUUCAUUGCUCCUCGGCCAAUUGAGAAGGUUGGAUUUUGUUCAUGAUAAGCAACAAUCCGGUGGCUGCAGAAAACAAAAGAGCAGAAGAUAACUUCAAAGCCAAAAGUGAUGAAUCUGAGCAAGUAGUGGGAACAGUAGCAGCAAGACCAGACAUGGUUGUAGCAGUGAGAGUAAUCAUGUUGAUGGAAUUCAAGAGAAGAGUGUUCCAAUUGUUACGUAGUUCACAAAUGUUGUGAUGCAUUUCAAUUCUGUCAGAAACAACUUCCAAGACUGCAUAUUAUUCCUUUCUAAUUGAUCUUUGAAUCCAUUAAAUUCCUCAAUUAGUUGUCUUGUUUUUGAUAAUUGAGAAAUUAGACAAACUUGGGAGUUUUGGAAGAUGGAUAACAGCAUUAACUGUCCUCAAAGAAGAUAAAUUAGCUGCUGCUGAGAAUUGUAUACUAACCAUGUAUUGAUGAGAGAUUAUUUUUCAAAUGAAGAGAGUUUAUGAAAAAUAAUGAAUGGGAGUGGAUGAUAUAUUAUAUAUAUAAUUGACCAUAGAGCAAGGGAAGAGAAUGGAUCAGAAAAUGUGGGAAGAAGUCAUACGUAACCGUAAGAGUAGACUUGGCCUCAUAAUUGACUUCCUCAACAAGCUUGGUUGCAUUGGUUUGUUUCAACAUUGAACAGAGAGGCCACGAAGUAGUAACGCCAACAAACUGCUCCUUCCCACUUGGAUUUCUUUUAUGCAUCAUACUUGAAUUUUAUUUACAUCACUUAUAUUUGUACACCCUCAACAAAAAUUACAUCUGUUCAAAAUCUCGUUACUCAUAUCACAUCACAAACUUAUCAAAAGAGGAUUGCUAUACAUAGCGAUAAAAUCAUCAAGAAGAGAUCACGAACAAUUUGCAACCGUUAGAUCAGGCAAUUUCUAGGAAAACAUGGGCGGGAAAAACUAAAAGGGGUUAUUGCAGCAAUUACUUUCUCACAUAGUGAUUUUAUCGUGACCAAACAAUUCGGGAGAACUAGCAUUUCUCCUUAUCAAAAUUAUCACAUUAGUCUCUUUACUUCUUUCUCUUAUAGAUUGAAGUUCGGAUGUCUAAGAAUCAUUUUCCUUUUAUUUAUUAAACAAUAGAGGAGUCAAUUUUUCUUUUAUUAUAAAAGUAAUGUUAUUCAUUCAAAUUGAAAUAGUAUAUCAUAAAUAAACAUGGAUGUAACAUCCCUAAAAAAAAAAAUCUGCGAACAAAUCAAAGUAAUAGAAAUAUUCAUGCCUAUGAAUCUACAAUAUUGACGAUAUAAUCAUUUAUUGAAGUUUAUAUGUCAAUAUCAACCAAACUAACAUCGUACCAUGACACAACAUCAAACAACAUCGCACCAAGAUGACCACCUUAUCAAUGUUACGCUGAAGUGGCGAAAUCACCAAAAGACACCAAAAAAAAUUAUAGUUUAUGUGAAAACUACUUAUUUAGAACAAGGAAGAAAAAAUAUAUAGAUGAGUGAUUUCAGACAAAAAAAAAUAUAUACAAGAUCACCCCAUUUCCAGUGAACGAAGAAAGAGAAAAUUUAGAGAGAAGAUGAAAUUUAUCUCUCUAAAAAAUUAGGGUCGGUUGUUUCCUUUUAUUUUUAAUUUAAUUAGGGCAUAAUAUUUUAUCAUGACAACGAAUGUAGAGGUGAAUAAUGUUCGAAUUUGACAAGGAGUGGUGUUUGCAUUUACUCGACGUAUUGAACUAGCUCAAGUGGAGAAAACUUCUGGUAAAUCAAAAGAGGUAUGAAUAAGUUUUUGAUACUUAUAAAGUGGUGUUUGCAUUUUGAUUCAAGUCUGUCUGAUAUUUUUUUUAAAAAUUUUGGUCCUCCAAAUAUUUUCCAUCAACACUUUUGUUUUCUAAUUUUAUGUCAGGUCAUGUCACAUGUAUACUUUUCAUAUUUUUGAAUGAGUUUUUUAAAGAAUGUUUGGAAUUAUAAGAAUCUUUUUCAAAAGAAUUAGUUUUUUUUAACAAAACAUGAAUUAAAUAAGAGUUUUUAAGUGUCAAAAACAAAAUAAUUUAAAUACUCAAUAAUUUUUUAAGAGAGAAUUCUUUAAUGAACUGAAUAUGAUUGAAAAAAAAAAUCAAAAUUCUAAAUAAUACACAUGAGUAAACUUAAAAGCAGGGUUCAAUGACUAAAAAUAUUUUAAGGACCAAAUAUUGAAGAAAACUUUUAGAUAGAUUAAAGGCAAAAUUUGAAAAUUUUAAAGAAACUAAAACUUAUUUAACCCAUAAGAAAAAUAUAUCAUAACAUAAUCAUUCAUUUAAAAAAACAUUAACUAUUUUAUGAAGAAAAAAAAAAUCAUAAAUAUAUGAUACAAGAGAAAAAAGGAUUCUAGAUUUUUUUUUUUUUCUUUCAAAUUUUGUUUAGUUUGGUUUUUUUUCAACAAAAUUUUUAUUUAAAAAAAUGAGUAAAUGGUCACUUUGGUCCCUGACUCUGCAUUUCGCGGUCACAAAUGUCCCUGAGUCAAGAUUAAAUACAAAGUAGUCCCUGAAUGUGCACUUCUGUUAUCAGUUUAGUCAUGUUAAAAAACUUAUGUUAACUGAUGAGGCGGCGUGCAUGAGAUGUCACACGGACUAAGUGAAAGAAGAAAUUAGUCACUUUGAUCCCUGAAUCUCAAAUCCCUAAAUCUCUAAAUCCCGAAUUUAAUCCUCAAAUUCUUAAAUCUCUAAAUCUCAUCUAAUUUCCUCUUUGUUCAAUAUCAAUUUCAUUUUUGAGCUGUUGUUAAUCAGUGGAGAUUUGUGGUAAGAAAUGAACAUAGUAAACUCCAAAUCUUUUGUGUUGUCAAUCAAAAGAGUUUAGUUUAUAUGGUGUCGAUUAUUAUAAUUAAUAGUAUGUCUCAUGUCAAAUGUGAUUUUAGUAAAAAAAUCUAUGCAUGUUUCGUAACCGUCAAACAAUUGAGUAUGCCUCCAAACUUUGGCUUAACUAAACAUGAUCAAAAUAGCUUCAACCAUAUCUUAGUUUGUACUAAAACACAUUUAUCAAACAUGCAUGUAAAAACGUACUAAUUAGCUUCAGUGCAUUUUCACUAUAGAAUGAGAGAAAGAUUAUACUUUUUGGAAUUGAUGAGUAAAAUGUGGUGAUUUCUAAUAAACAUUAGAAUUUAGUACAGUCCAUAUAAUUAACAACAACAAAAAAAAAUUCAUUUUGAACAAAAGAGGGAAUUAGAUGAAAUUUAGGGAUUUUAUGAUUAAAUUCGGGAUUUAGGAAUUUGAGAUUCAAUUUCGGAAUAUUGAUUUUCAAUUUAGGGACCAAACGACUAUUUUCCACUUUCAGUUUAAUCUUUGUGACACCUCAUGUACACCACCUCGUAAGUUAAUAGAAGUUUUUAACAUCAGAGACUAAACCGAUUACACAUUCAGAGACUACUUUGUAUUUAAUCCUGAGUCAAUGACCUUUGUGACAGUGAGAUGCGAGUCAUGGACCAAAUUGAUCAUUUGCUAAAAAAAAAUCAUGGGCUCAAACUCGUCACAGACACACAGGUCUAUGAAAGUAUUUACAAGUCUAUCUGAAACUACCCGAGUCUGAAUCUACACGAGUUUGACAGCCAUAGUCUAGCAUUUAUAUUUUUGUCUCUUCUAAGCCAAAUAUUGUUAACAAUAUAUGAUAAAAGAAUGUGGCAAAAAUAAUAAAAUGGCUGGGUCAAAAAAAAAAUAUUAAGAUUACCAUUAAAAUUAUGAUUUUGACAACUUAGAGAAAAACAUGAUAGCAAUAUUAUAUUAAAAAGACAUUUCAAAACUAUAAAUGUCACCAUCUCAUGAGAUUUAAUGUAUUAUUAAUUACGACAUAUGAAAUUAGGUCACAUGUUUUGUGACGGGGAGUAUCAAGCAUGAGCAAGGAAAAGCCUUUGAAUUUUGAUCUCGUAUCGCACGAUGUAAUUUUUGAACGUAUCCAUACAACCGUGUACGAGGUGAAAAUGUUUGAACAGUAAGAGUUGAAUAAUCAAACAAAAUGAAGUCAACCAGUAACACCCAGUCAAAUAGUUUCCUUAUCUGACCCAUUCAUUCUCUUCUUGUUCACACAUCAGUCAUCACCUAUAUAUAUAUAUAUAUAUAUAUAUAUAUAUAUAUAUAUAUAUUACACAACCCACACACAUUUAUUCAACCAUACAAAAUUUCACAAGAAAACCUUAAGAAAUUCAACACACAUAACAAACAUCUACCUAUCUAAUUUCUCAUUAGAUCACAUAUAUGGCUUCUUUACAAGUUUCAUCUAUGCUUUCUUCUUUUUCUUCAGAUCAAAAAAUGAUUAAAUCCUCUUUCAAUGUUCCAAAACUCCCUAAAGCUCUUUCCAUAGUUCCAAAAACAAGACCAAGCAGGAAGCUGUUUGAAGAAUUAAACGGUCAACUCAUACACACAAUCCCAAUAAUGAUUCAAGAAAAUGAUUAUCAUUAUUCACCCAAGUACAAUUCUCCUUCUUCUAAAUCACCAAAAACAAAAACAAAAACCAUUACUCAACUCUAUGCAAUUCUUGAAUCUGUAUCCGACAGAAUAGAAAUGCAUCAAAACAUUGGCGAACAACGCGAUAAUUGGAAUACCCUUCUAUUAAACUCCAUCAACAUGAUCACUCUCACCGCCACCGCCAUGGCAGGUAUAUCAGCCAUAAGCGGCUCCGGUGCUCCUCUUUUAGCCCUCAAAUUAUCUUCCGCACUUUUAUUCUCAGCUUCUACUGGUAUGUUAAUUAUCAUGAACAAAAUCCAACCUUCACAACUUGCUGAGGAGCAAAGAAAUGCAACAAGAUUGUUCAAACAGCUUAAGUCCCAGAUUGAAACAACAAUAGCAAUUGGGAACCCCACAGAGGAAUAUAUAAAGGAUACUAUUCAAGAAGUUCUAGCUCUUGAUAGAGCUUAUCCACUACCUUUGUUAGGAGUUAUGAUUGAAAAAUUCCCUCAAAAAUAUGAACCUGCAAAUUGGAGGCCUACAAAAAAAUCAUCUAGAAGAAGCAACAAUAGUUUUCAUUCAGAAAAUAAUGAAACAAAGAAAAAUGGAUGGAAUGAAGGAUUAGAAAGUGAAGUAAAAGAUGUAUUAGAAGUUAUGAAGAGAAAAGAUAUGGAAGAUUAUGAGAGAUUAGGAAACUUGGUGUUGAAGAUAAAUAAGACAUUGGCUAUUGCAGGACCAUUACUCACUGGAAUUGCAGCUGUGGGGUCCACAUUUGUUGGUCAAGGUUCAUUGGCAUCUAUAGUACCUGUUAUGGCUGGAGCAUUGGCUACUGCUGUUAAUUCUUUUGAGCAUGGUGGACAAGUUGGUAUGGUUUCUGAAAUGUAUAGAGCUUGUGGUGGAUUCUUUCAAAUGAUGGAAAGUUCAAUUCAAGAGAAUAUAUUAGAAGAAGAUGAAGAACAAAGAGAAAAUGGAGAUUUGUUUGAAAUUAAAUUGGCUUUGAAAUUGGGAAGAAGUUUGUCACAAUUAAGAGAUCUUGCUAUAAAAUCAGCUUACUCUCGUGUUGAGGGAACUAUAGUUGAUGAAUUUGCAAGCAAGCUUUUCUAAUUGUUUUUAGUUUACUUUUUUCUUGAUCUAACUUAACAAUUCUUUGAUUCAAUUAUGAUUAUUUCUUACAAAUUCAUUGGUGUCCUUUUGAUUGUUUUUGUUAGGGGUGUUCAUGGAUUGGGUAAAUCCAAAAAACCAUCGAACCCACCCAAAAAAAACCAAAAAAGUGGGUUGGGUUGGGUGAUUGGGUGGAUAUGGUUUUAAAAAAUAAAAAACUCAUAAAAAAUAACGGGUUUUGGGUAAAACCAAACCCAAACCCAAUAAACCCACUUACCCAAUAAUGUUUAUUUUUUUUUUCAUUUUCAUUUUCAUAGGGAGGAAGGAGAAUAACAAAGAUUUUGGUUAUAAUCUUUCUUUAAAAUAAAAUGGUUAUAAACCAAGUCUAACUUCUAAAUUUGACACAAUAAAUCAUCUAUAUUGAAAAUCAAUGUCUAAUUUCUAAAAUUGACACAACACAUCCUCUAUAUUGAAAAUAAAAACAUGUUAGAGUUACAAAUUAUGAUGUUGAACUUUUUAGUUAUUUUGAAGUUAAAGCAAUUUUAUGCCAUCCCACUUUAGUUUGUUGCAAAUAUUUUAUUUUAUGAUGAAAUUUAUUAUUUAAUAUUAUAACUUAUUAUUUUAUAACGUUAAAAUAUAGUGAAAUAGGUUACACAAUUUUAUUAAGAAAAUAAAAAGUUGAGUAAAUUUUAUGAGAAAAAAAUAGGAGGAAGCGUCAUUAGUAUUAACAAAAAAACAAAAAAAAAUAACUUGGGUAACCCACCAUCCAACCCAAACCAAACCGAAAACUAGUGGGUUUGUCCAGACCCACCCAGUAAUAUAACGGAUGGACAUUUUACCUCACCCAAACCGGAGUACUCUAUAUGGUUCGGGUUUUGGGUUUGGUCAAACCCAACCCAAACCCACCCACGUACACCUCUAGUUUUUGUGUACAUUUGCUUGUAUAGAAACUAAAUUUAAUUAACCACCAACCAAUUGUUGUAAUUUUUGUAUAUUUCAAAAGUUUUAUAAUAUAUAUAUAGUUAAUAGAGAAUUAUUAUUAUUUUAUUUAUGAUUAAAAUUAAUAGUUGACUUGGUCUAAUUCUUUUGGCCACAUCAUUUUGACUUGGUUAAAUCUAAGUAUUUAUACUAUCAUUUGUUGCAACCGAAAAUAAUUAAAGGCACGUUAUAUUUUUAGUAUCAAUUGCUUUUAUAUUUGAGAAGUUAAUGCCUACUUUUUCUCACUAUUAAAACUGCCAAUUUCAUCUAUUAACAGGAACGCACGUUUUAGUUUCGAAGAAUUGGCAGUACCAUUUUCUUUUAUAUAAUAAAUAUCUAUAUCCUUUAUUUUACAUGGCAGACUCUCCUGAGUUUAUCAAAUUUAAGUUGUUCUGUCAUCUCUAGUAUGAUUCAUAUCAGAGAAUGAUUCAUAUCAGAGAAGAACAUGUUGUAUCCUAAGAGAAAAUGUGCUUAUGAGGCAGAUGAAUCCUUAACGACAGUGAUCCUAUCACGUCUCAGGUUUAUGUAAUGGUUUACUGUUUUGCAGGUUAUCACUUUCAUGGUUUAGUGUUUGUUUACUUUGAUUUUGCCGAGAUCAAAUUACCUCAAUUAUUUUUAAGAACGGAUGAGUUUACUUGAUAUCCCUCUUGUUUAUUCUCUUCAAUAUUUAAUUCAUGCUUUUAUUUGUAUGAUGAUUAUUAUUUAUAGAGAUAAUUUAUUCCUAUUUUUUACAACACCAAUAUUAUUAUAAUUAUACGUAACAAGUAAGAUUUUUUCGUAUCUAGGUUAAUCAUUGUUAAAAGUCCCACAUCAGUUAGGAGUUGGUCUGACAAUUUAUUUAUAAGUGGGGGCAAUCAUCACCUCACAAACCAGUUUUGUGGGGUUGUGUUAAGCUCAACCACGAUUUCUAAUAAUCACCAACUACUCACUUUUUUUAACGACCAUCAACUACUCAUUAGUCCUCGAUGUCUAGACAUUUUGUACACCAACUAGUUAUUGAUUAUAACUAGUCAUAAUCACUCUUUGGUGUCAAGCCAUUUGGGACCAUUGAGCAUUCACAAUUAGUCUGCUAUUAAUAAGCCUUGGACCGGGUCUCAACACUUCAAUUUUAUAAUUUUAAGAUUUUGUACAUAUAAUCAAUUCAUGCAUAUUUACAAUUUUUAGCAACAAAGUCUGGUUAUAAAGAAAACAUAAAAAUAAAGGAAAGUGUAAGCAAGAAUACAAGUGAUUAAUCACAUAAUUUAUCGUAUGGUGCCUAAGCCUCUAGCAGUAGAGUGGAAAUGAUUUUUUAUUAGAUUUAAUUACACUUUUGGUCCUUGUGUUUUGGCCUACUCACGAAAUUGGUCUUACCUUUUUAAAACAGAACAAAACGGUCUUCAAUUAUCAUUUGUGUUGCAUUUUUCGUCCUACCUCCUAUUUUCAAACUCCAGAAAUGCAGAGAAAUGACAGUUUUAAGCGGUUUUAGACCUACCCUAUGUUCAACCAUGAAAUCAACAAGGAAAUAAAACAUGUGGGUACAAGGAAUCUAUUCUAUCCAGCACACUAACAAAAAAAAAAACCUAAUUUGAAAAAUAUCUUAGAAAUUAGGGUUUUUUUGGUUAGUGUGUUGAAUAAAAUAAAGUGGAUUCUUUGUACCCACAUGCUUUAUUCCUUGUUUAUUUCAUGGUUAAUCAUAGGGGUAGGUCUAAAACUGUCAUUUCUCUGCGUUUUUGGAGAAUAAAAUUGGGGGUAAGACGAAAAAUGCAACAAAAAUGAUAAUUGAAGGACAGUUUUGUUCUAUUUUAAAAGGGCAGGACCAAUUUCGUGAGUAGACCAAAACACAAGAACCAAAAGUGUAAUUAAAUUUUUCUAUUAUUGAUCAUAAUGGCGUAUGUUCACCAUCUUGCUGACGUUUAUAGGAAUAGGACCUUUAACCUUUCAAUGGUGCUACCUGGAAAAUGUCCUUAAAACAUAAACAAUAUUUAUUAGUUGCGUGACUGAUUCUAUUGUGAUAUUUUUCGUUUUUGAAUUCAUGUGAUCAUUGAUGACACUCUGUCAUGUCAUCUCUCUGUUGUUAGUCAUUUUUUAUGUGAAACUCAUUGUAAACAUGGGAGUUGGAAGUUAAAAACAACAGUAAGCAGGAAGUUUGAGAAAAGCAAAAUCGGGCGUUUAAUUUCUUACCAUCGGGCGCCGAUUUCAAGGCACAAGAACCAGUUUGGUUCGACAUUUUUUGGCCACCGAUUUCGCAGGAGUGUGCAGCUGAAAUUUGAAUUCAUGAAGAUUUCGGGGGCCGAUUUUAACACUUCGGGGGCUGAUUUUCGAUGGAUCUAUUUAAGGCAAACACAUUUUCUGAAGAAGGGUUCGAGAUUUUUGAGAAAAAAGACAUAUUUUGAAGCUGAAGCAUUGAAGAUCUGGUGGGAGGCCAUCAAAACUCAUAGUCAGUCCUCCAUUACAUGUGUGAAUCUUGGUUUCGCAUUAGUUAUUUGUACUUUAGCUAUGAGUAACUAAUCUCCUUGUGGUUGAGACUUAGAUGAAACUGGUGUAAUUUUAUGGAGACCUAAUUUGUAUGAACUCUCUUGAAUAUAUCAAUGAAAGUCUAUUUUAAUUUAUUACCUUGUGUUUAAUGUUGUUUAUAUGUUUGUUUAUGAUUGACUACUAGCACUAGCAUCCCGAAUGUGUAAAUUGAUCCUAGAACUUAAAAGACCACUAGCCAUGGUUUUUGAAUAUCUGAUCUAGGAAACAUGUUUAACCUAAGUAAUUAAGCUAGAGAUAGAAAAUUAUUAGGUUAUGAUUUAGGGAUUAACGGAUUGUUAAAGUUUCGAAUUCACUUAAGAGAUUAAUGGUGUAUUUGAAUGGAGAGUUUAGGAGGGGAAGGGAAGGGAGGGUUUACUUUUAAUUUUUAAAUUAAGGACACUAUGAAAUGUUUUUUAAAAAGUUAACAUGAUAAAUGAUCAUAUAAUACUUCAAUCGCACUUAAUUUAUUUUAGAAAAACAUGUUAUAUCGUCUGUACUUUAAAAAUGAAAAGUAAACUCUCCCCUCCCUUUCCCUCCUAAACCCUCAAUCCAAACACGCCUUAAGGGAUUGUCAUUUGCAGACAGGGUUCUAGGUCAAGAGAUUGAGUAGAACCAUUUUAUUAAUCUGUUGUUAAACUAGAAAGACAUUGAUUGAACAGGGGUGCAAAUUACCAAAUAAGAACAUCGGAUGAUUCGAAUGUCUUAACUAUAUUUUUUCAUAAAUUUCUACAACCAAAGCUUUUAUCGGCUUUAAACAAUUUAUGUUACAAAUACCAACCCAACUACUUAGAACAACCUUAAAUUUAAUACAUCCUUUAAAUAAUGAAAUUGUUAAGUAAAAGUAAACAAAAAUCCUCAUAAAUACAAUCUUUAAUAUUACUUCGAUAAUUUUGAUACAUUUACCAAAAUCCUAUCAAUCAUAACAUUUCAUUUGUGUAUCUUUCAACAAGAUGUCAGAUGUUUUGUCGGUUUUAGUGACACCAAAUGUAUAAAUCUUUGAGAAAUGAUAUUUGAACAUCUAUUUUUUGACAAUUUUUGUGACAACUUUCUCUCUCAUACUUACAUUAUACUUUUACUUUCUCUCUCUAUUAUUUUGGUUUUCGUGUCAAUAACUAAUUUCCUUUAUAAAUUUAUGGUUGUUCCAAAAGUUGCCACCAAAAUAAUUGUUCAAAUAACACAUCUAUAAACCUUUCUAUUAAAAUAUGCGUUUCAUCUUAGCCUCGUAUGGGAUACAAACACAGGAAAGAGCAUUCUUUAACUUGGUAAGAUUUGUUUCACAAGUGUCUUGGUCCGACAAUUCUGAGGACUUAAAACAUAUUAAUUUGAUACUUUUCAGCCCUAAGUUGUUCAAUUUGUCGAACUUUUUCUCCUAAUUGGACCAAGUCAACAAGAUGUUGAUUGACCAAUUUUUCUCUAAUGUAAAAAUCUAAACCACCAAUCUACAACCAUUAUGAUGUCUAAACCUUUAUAGGUAAUUGUCGGCAAAAUCGUUACCAAUUCUUUUGAUAUUGUACUAAUCCAUCAAUAUUGGUUAAUGUAACCUUUAGGUCACCUCUGAAGAAUUGGUUAUGGAAACUACAUUCUAUCCAUUGUUGUCAAAAUUCAGAAUUCAAUCUUAAAAUUUAAAAUUUUGCGAUUUUACUUACCUUUAAUGACUCAAAUUCAUAGGAGAAUCUUAAAAUAGGCAAAAUCUUAGUAAAAUCGUAUCAAAAUCCUACAAAAUCCCGAAAUUCAUACAAAAUUGAAGGAUUUUGAAAGAUUUAGUCCACUUUUUUUAGUCAUUUAUGUAUAAAUAUUUUGUGGACUUACCGAGUAAUUUAUGACUAUAUAUAAUUUAUAAUAUAUAGUUAGCAUUAUUUUUGUUUUGGUAUAAUUCAUCGAUUUGUAUUGCGAUUUUACGAUUUUUGAUAUUGAUUCUACAAAAAUAGUUGAGCAAAAUCCUUCGAUUUUGAUUGCGAUUUUAGAAUUUUUGAUUUUUCUAUUCCCUUUCGACCUAAAGCAAAAUCCCGAUUUUGACAACCUUAAUUCUAACCGAGUCCAUGAGUGAAUAGAAUUUCACUUAGGGUGGAUAGCCAUGAGAAUGCAUUCUUGGUUAAAGAACUUGGGAUAAACUCAUUUUAACUAUUGCAAAUUCCCAUAUUUUUGUGGAGAAUUUUGCAAUGUGUUUAAUGAUUGAUUCCCCAAUAUCCCCUAUGAACAUGGCCAAUUUGGGAUAUUUAGCGCCUCUUGGGACUUCAACAUGUGUUGUGCCCUUUUAGAAGAUGGAGAAGUAAAGAACGAAUGAUUAGGAUGUUCCACGUCAAAACCAACCCUAUUGAGACCUAGCUCGACCACUUGAUAACAUUGUGGUCCAUUUGGUUGACUAAAAUGAUGCGCCCUAACGCAUCUACUAAAGGAUUUUGGUGAACAUACAAGUCACUGCUCAAUAACAGUUCACAUUCUCAUAUUGCAAUGGUGGCAAACGAUAAUGGUUAAUGUCGAGAUUGGCAUUUUAGAACUAUGUUUGAACCAUGUCGCUAUUCAUUUGUCUCCUAUGCUCAUUAACAUUCCCAAGAUUCAUGCAUAUGAAUAUGGCAUUUUUCGUCAAUUAGGGGAUAAAUGAUUUUGUUAUCCUGGAGAGUGUUUCCCUAUCCAGGUUGUGUCAAUGCCUAACACUUGGUUCAAUGUGACCACCUAAUCUAGGUGGCCAAAACAGAUCAAGCAUCGUUGUAUUUUCCACAAGCAUUAUCGUACCCGUUGUAUUUACUAUAAGAAAAAUGGGAGUACAUUAUACAAUUCUCUAAAGUUACUCCUCAAACGUUCAACGGUUUUAUUUUCAAAAUAAUUGAAAGAAUUCGUAUGAAAAGAAUGAAUCAAACAAAAAAAAAAUGUUGUUUUCAGAAGAGUUUGUUGGCGAAUUCAUCUAUCUCACGUCCUUCCAUCCGAUAGAGAGCAGAUUUCGAGGCAAAUUCUCUCAUCUCCAUUACACUUCUUCCCAAUUUUAAAGCAAUCUUCAUUUCAAACACUUCCCCGUUUUCUCUUUUAUUCAAAUCUUUAUCUUCAAUAGUUUCUUCAACCGUCUCUUCCAAAAGCUCAAAAAAUCCACUACAGUUUCUAUACAUCUGAAACAUCAUACCAACUUGUUCAAAAGUAUUAGCAACAGUUGUCAUUUAACUUUAUCAGAAAAAUCAUUCUUACAACUUCACCAUAAAAUUUUUUAUUUAUACUAAUAAUUGAGUCAAAACAAUAAUAAUUAUUUGUACUAAUCACGACUAGAAAAGAAGGUGCUAGAUACGUGCUUAUGUCAUAAUCUUGACCAAUUCCUGUUUAAAGUAAUGAAGCCAUAAAUGGAAACCCCAUCCCAUCAUUGGUGUACGUUAAUAUCAAUCAAUUAACAUUCUAAUAAAUGCAUGGCCCUAUAGUACUUUCGCUUCAGUUACAUAUACUAAUGAAAUACAGUAAGACUCAUGUCUCGUAUCGUAUGUUUCUUAUUCUUAAAUACUAUAUUGUGAAUUUGUGACACGCAAGACAACAUGUCAACAUAUAUGUCUCGUGUGUUUGUCUCCUCUGCAUUAGAUUAUUAGGCAUUUCUAACUCAAUAUAUAGGAGGUGAAUGUGUUUUACACAUCUACAAUAUACAAAGCAAACAUCUGCUCCAGAUGCUUCAAAAUUUUGGAUAAAAAAAAAAAGCCUAAAAAAUGUAAUUUAGUUAUAAAUCUUAAUGUUUCAAAUUCUAGCACCACUACUAAAAAACAAAAAUUAGUGAGGGAAAUUUUGUGAGGGAAAACGUGAAAUCCCUCUCUAAUUCCGUCACUAAAUUUUACGAUCAUAAAAUUUGUGAGGAAUUUUAUUUUUUCCGUCACUAAUUUCCCCCGCUAAUUUUGUUUUUUCUAGUAGUGCACAUCAUGCAGAAAAACUCCAUAAGGUUUGAUAUUCAUCAAAGUGAAUAUUGUUGAGUAUGACUCAUAUAUAGAAAUGGAAGAGAGGCAAGGGGCUCACAGUCGUUGUUGUAAUCUAAAUUGUAACUAUAUAUUAGAUUUUUGACUCGUGCUCCGCUUGGGUUUAUUGUAAAGGAUUGACAUACGAAUAAUAAAAUGCAAUAUAUAAUUGGUAACGGUGAAAAAAAAAAGUUGUAAGGUCACUUCUUUCCAUUUGCAAAGCUCUAAAUAUCAAAAUAUAUGAUUUUUGUGUUGUGUGUGAAAAAAAAAAUUGUUGUAAGGUCGCGUCUUUCUAUUUGCAAAGCUCUAAAUAUCAAAAUAUAUGUAUGUCUUAGAAAAUUUUGCUGGAAAAUUCAUCUAUGUCAACACCUUCCAUGCGAUAAGAAGCUGAUUUUGAUGCAAGUUCCCUUAGCUCUGAUACACUUUUUCCCAAUUGCAAAGCCAUCUUCAUUUCAAAUAGCUCUCCAUUUUCUCUUUUCUCUAAAUCUUUCUCUCCCAAAGUUGAUUCAAUUGAAGUUUCUAUCAAGUUGAAAAAACCAGCAGAAGCUCUAUACAUUUCAAAAACCAUGCCAACUUGUCCACCAUGCUCAAAAGUAUUAAUUACAGAAGCCAAUAGAGGAACAAAAGCAGCCAAAGAACUAUUGCCAAUAAAUGUAGAUCCUAUAGCUGCAAUUCCUGAGAGUAAUGGCCCUGCAAUUGCCAAACUCUUGUUUACCUUCAAUGCUAUGUUUCCAAGUCUAUCAUAAUCUUCAACGUCUUUUCUCUUUAUCACUUCAACAACAUCCCUCAUUUCCAUUUCUAAUUCUUCACUCCAUUCGUUCAUUUUUCCUAUUUUAUUGGACGAUUUGUAUUUCUCCAUCUCACCCUUAACAUAUUUCUCACUAGGAUUUCCAAGAGCAAUUGUAGUUUGAAUUUGCCUUUGAAGUUACUUGAACAAUCUUGUGGCAUUCCUUUGUUCUUCUGUGAGUUGAGAGGGUUGGAUUUUGUUCAUGAUAAGCAACAAUCCGUUGGCUGCCGAAAACAGGAGAGCAGAAGAUAGUUUCAGAGCCAAAAGUGGUGCAACUUCCCCACUUGUGACAGCUGCAACACCAGACAUAGUCUUAGCAGUGAGAGUAAUCAUGUUUAUUGAGUUCAAAAGAAGAUUAUUCCAGUUGUUACGUUCGCCAAUGUUGUGAUGCAUUUCUAUUCUGUCUGAUACAGCUUCUAAAACUGUAGAGUUGAAUUGUGGCUUUAGAAUUUGUAGAAUGCUUUUGUUGUUGAUCUUGUAAUAUUUCUGUUUUGUUGAUGUGUUCAUUGUUUUGUAGUUUUAAUUCUUGAUCAACAACUUGUUUUCUGGUUUGAAUAGUUGGCAAUGAAAUAUUUGGGAGUUUUGGAAGAUUAAUUGCAGCAUUAAUUACUCUCUUUGAAGAUGAUAAAGAACAAGAAGUUAGAACUGAAGUUUGUAAUAUUGAAGCCAUGAUAUAUACAAAUUAAUAAUAUUUGAAGAUGUUUGCUUUGUGUUAAUUUAGGAUAGUGUAUAGUUGGGGAAAUAAAAAGGUUUUGGUUUUUUGUAAUAUUGUUUGAAUGUUUUAUAUUUUGUAAGGUGGUAUGCAAUAUUUAUAUGCCAAAGAGAAUGGGAAGGGGUCAAAAUCAAAUAAGGAAACUAUGAUUGACCAAUUGAAUUAAUUAAAAAUUGACAUAGUCUCUGUUCAAAAUUCCAAGCCUUGUGUAUGUUGGGUGGUCUCAACAUGCAACGUUGUACAAAUAAAACCACAAUUAAGGCUGCGUUACAUGCAAGAAUUAUGAAACUAAGUAGUAGCUUGGUAAUUAGCAUGCAACAAAGGCUAUGGACUUUUUCUCUAUUUCAUUUCAUUCACUAAUUUUUUACUUUUCAUUUGUCAUUAUAUAAGCUAUAUAUGGCUAGUGCUCCAUUAGUUUUAGAAAUGUCUUUGAUUUUGAAGUAUCUUUGGGUUUGGUCAUACCAUUUGUCAAUAUAUAAGCCAUCUUCAGCAUUUUAAUUUUAAAAAUUUGAAUAUUCUUCUAUGUGGACUUUUGUUUUGGUAGUCAAAACAAUUAAGAUGCACUCUCAACUAAUGUUCCAUAAUUAAACUUUGAAUCAAAUAGAGAAUCAAGUAUCUACCACUUAUGUUACAUUCUGUUAUUUUAGUUUUUUGGUUGAUUUUUUAUUAUUUCAAUUUAAGAUUUGAAGAAUGAGAAAAUAUAAUUUCAAAUCAAUAUAGAUAUAAAAGGAUUGACUAAAUCUACCAAAAAAAAUAUUGAAUAAUAGAUAAAUGUUUUGGAAUGGAAAAAGACAUGUCAACCUAAAAAGUCUAAAGAGGAUGGAUACCAACCUUAAAGCAACUACUAUCAAUAAAGAUUUGGGGUUGAAUUACUAUAGAAAAGAAAUGUUCAGGGGAAUUGAGUUGUGUUCUUAUGACCAAAGAAUAUUUGUGAAACAAACAUAGACAUAUUAGAGUUUGUUUUUCGUCAGAAAUGGUGGGUAAUUUACCCCAACCAAUACACAUUAGCCACAUAAGUAUAUUUUAAAGUGGUAUCCAUGAACUAUCUUGACCACACCAACAAAUUGCUCAUUUUCAUUGGUUGGCAGGUAAAUUAUCCACCAUUCUUCAAAGAUAAUCUAGAAAAAACCUUUAAAAAAACAUAUAAUCAUCUUUUAAAAAAAAAAAACAUAUAAUCAAUUUAAAUAUUCGGGCAAAUCAUAACAUUCAGAUCUAAUAAAACAUAAUCAAUUUACGUACACACAAAAAGAAAACUGCAAUUUAGCAUCAAACAUUUUAGCGUCAAACCAUUUAUGAUAUUAAUAGCAUAGUAUAUAUUUAGAAUCCACUAAAUCUAACACAAAUGUUUCUUUCUUUCUUUUUUUACGCAUCUUCGCGUCAGUCUUGCGGACGCUAUAAACUAUAAUCGUAAAAGCUAAUUAUUUCUAACGUCUACUAAAUUUGGACGCUAAUUUUCUUAUUGUUUAAAUAGUGUCUAUUAAUUCUUAAGCUAAAAUAUUUUUACCCAAAUUUUUUAACACUUCUAUUUUAACAUAUUCCUUAAUUUUUCCACCAUUAUUCGUACAUUUCCCUCAUUCUUACUAAAAAAAUCUCAACUUUACUCCGACUCAAGCUAAAUUGGGGAAGAAAAGAUAUAUAUCAUGAAUUCUCCUACUCAAUUACAUUAUAUAUGAAGUUAAAAAUUAUAUACAGAAUCAGAUCGCUGUAAUCUAUAUUUACAUUUGUUUUCUAUGUUAUGAAAGAAUUAAAGAAUGUCUAUUGUCUUGAAGAAAUAAUAUCUCAGAAGAGCUUGCUGGCAAAUUCAUCUAUUUCGAUACUUUCCAUGCGACAAGAAGCUGAUUUUGAGGCAAGUUCCCUCAGCUCUGUGACACUUCUUCCCAAUCGCAAAGCCAUUUUCAAUUCAAAUAGCUCUCCAUUUUCUCUUUUCUCUAAAUCUUUCUCUCCCAAAGUUGAUUCAAUUGAAGUUUCUAACAAGUUGAAAAAACCAGCAGAAGCUCUAUACAUUUCAAAAACCAUGCCAACUUGUCCACCAUGCUCAAAAGUAUUAACAGCAGAAGCCAAUGAACCAGUCAAUAGAGGAACAAAUGCAGCCAAAGAACUAUUGCCUACAAAUGUAGAUCCAAUUGCUGCAAUUCCUGUGAGUAAUGGCCCUGCAAUUGCCAAACUCUUGUUUACCUUCAACGCUAUGUUUCCAAGUCUGUCAUAAUCUUCAGAAUCUUUUCUCUUGAUCACUUCAGCGACUUCCUGCAUUUCCAUUUCUAAUUCUUCACUCCAUCCAUUGUUCAUUUUCCCCAUCUUCUUGCUUUGAGUUUUUACCUUUUUGGAAAUAGGCCACCAAUUAGCAGGUUCAAAUUUUGAAGGGUAUUUUUCAAGCAUUGCUCCCAAUAAAGGAAGAGGGUAUGCUUUAUCAAUUGCCAAAACCUUUUCCAUUGCAUCUUUGACAUCUUCCUCGGUAGGAUUUCCAAUAGCAAUUGUAGUUUUGAUAUGACUUUGAAGUUGCUUGAACAAUCUUGUAGCAUUUCUUUGUUCCUCUGUGAGUUGAGAGGGUUGGAUUUUGUUCAUGAUAAACAAUAAUCCAGUGGCAGCAGAGAAUAAAAGAGCAGAGGACAGUUUCAUAGCCAUAAGUGGUGCACCUUCCCCGUUUGUGACAGCUGCAACACCAGACAUGGUUGUAGCAGUGAGAGUAAUCAUAUUUAUUGAGUUUAAUAGAAGAUUAUUCCAGUUGUUACGUUGUUCGCCAAUGUUGUGAUGCAUUUCUAUUCUGUCUGAUACAGCUUCCAAGACUGCAUAGAGUUGAACUGUAGCAUU
Molecule: long non-coding RNA, 22382 nt
Filed under: Medicago truncatula (barrel medic)
Lineage: Eukaryota; Viridiplantae; Streptophyta; Magnoliopsida; Fabales; Fabaceae
Description: long non-coding RNA (MTRU_LNC008113)
Source: RNAcentral